RNAcentral lists this ribosomal RNA (780 nucleotides) under uncultured Neocallimastigales. RNAcentral describes it as "partial large subunit ribosomal RNA". The stretch from base 7 to 699 matches the Rfam family "Eukaryotic large subunit ribosomal RNA", at positions 24 to 664 of the family's 3401-position model. The record is from RNAcentral. Lineage: Eukaryota; Fungi; Neocallimastigomycota; Neocallimastigomycetes; Neocallimastigales.
CAUCACUACGCUAGAUGCAUAUCAAUAAGCGGAGGAAAAGAAACUAACUAGGAUUCCCUCAGUAACGGCGAGUGAAGCGGGAAGAGCUCAAAUUUGAAAUCUUCAAGGUUUCUACCUUGACGAAUUGUAGUUUAAAGAAGUGUUUUCUGUUGGAGUUUUGGUAAAAGUUCUUUGGAAUAGGACAUCAUAGAGGGUGAGAAUCCCGUAUUUGACCGAUUCACUUUCCAAGCUGUGUGAUACACUUUCAAAGAGUCGGAUUGUUUGGGAAUGCAGUCCAAAAUGGGUGGUAAAUUUCAUCUAAAGCUAAAUAUUGGCGAGAGACCGAUAGCGAACAAGUACCGUGAGGGAAAGAUGAAAAGAACUUUGAAAAGAGAGUUAAACAGUACGUGAAAUUGUCAAAAGGGAAGCGUUUGACACCAGUGUUGUUUUUCCGAAAAUCAAUUACGAAUGUUUUAGUUUUUGAGAAGUUAUGACUUCAUCGGCUUGCUUCUCUCUUUAUGAAACUUUCUUAAUGCACUCUUCGGUUAACAAGUCAACAUCAAUUUCUUUUGUUGUAAAAGGGUAUGAGGAAGGUGGCUUUCUUUUCGGAGAAAGUGUUUAUAGCCUUGUACCUCUGCAAUCGGAGGGAUUGAGGUCUGCAGCGUAGAUCCUUCGGGGUUAGAUACAUUUGUGCUAAGCUAUAGUUCUUUAUAGACAACUUGUUGACUAUAAUCAAUCCUGUAACUUACUCGCUUAUGCUAUUUUACCUACGCUUAGGAUGUUGACACACGCGCGUGCUCG